GCCCGGUCGUGAGUCAGCGCCGGCCACGCCCCCUUGUGGUUGGCCACGCCCACCCGGCCGGGCUGUGACUCACCGGAAGUGAAUCAGAGGGUGCGGACGGCGCGCGGACGGCGGGCACCGAUAUGCGCCACUAUGCACCAGUAUGCACCAGUAUAGACCAGUAUGGGCACCGCUAUGCGCCACUAUACACCAGUAUGCACCAGUAUGCACCAGUAUGGGCACCGCUGCACCAGUAUGGGCACCGCUAUGCGCCACUGUACACCAGUAUGCACCAGUAUGCACCAGUAUGGGCACCGCUAUGCGCCACUGUACACCAGUAUGCACCAGUAUGCACCAGUAUGGACCAGUAUGCACCAGUAUGGACCAGUAUGGGCACCGCUAUGCGCCACUAUGCACCAGUAUGGACCAGUAUGCACCAGUAUGCACCAGUAUGGGCACCGCUAUGCGCCACUAUACACCAGUAUGCACCAGUAUAGACCAGUAUGGGCACCGCUAUGCGCCACUGUACACCAGUAUGGACCAGU
This 524-nucleotide long non-coding RNA is filed under the name Gallus gallus (chicken). RNAcentral's name for it is "lncRNA (ENSGALG00010000759.1)". Lineage: Eukaryota; Metazoa; Chordata; Aves; Galliformes; Phasianidae. The record is from RNAcentral.